UCACAGCUUUGAACCUGCCAAAGGACCCU
RNAcentral lists this non-coding RNA (29 nucleotides) under Homo sapiens (human). The record is from RNAcentral. Lineage: Eukaryota; Metazoa; Chordata; Mammalia; Primates; Hominidae.